Molecule: non-coding RNA, 633 nt
Organism: Camelina sativa (false flax)
Lineage: Eukaryota; Viridiplantae; Streptophyta; Magnoliopsida; Brassicales; Brassicaceae
Source: RefSeq, a predicted model, not a curated record
GAGACAUCUUCCACUGAGAAAGGAAUGCUGCAAGAUCACCGGAAGGAAACAGUGAAGAUUCGAGAGUUUAGGGAGAGAAAUCGAGAAAUUUUGUUUUUUUUUUUUGGUUUUUUUCUGCGUACCUUGAAUCGACGUCGAGCAAAAAAGAAGGUAGACAUGAUUCGAAGUUGUACCAGAAACUUCACUGCUUGCCUUAUGUGUUGAAGUUCAUCCCAUGGUGAUCGUGCUACUGCUGCCUGUAGAAGACAAAAAAAGAAUUAUAUAUUCUCCGUUGCUAACCGAACAACACUCUCGGCGAAGCAACAAACUGCCACAAGAUAAACUUUAUGGGACCUGGAGACCAUUAAGACUCAGUCAAGAAACAGGAAAAUAUAAAUUAAGCCUGAAAUGAAAAUCUUCGAAGGUUCAUUCUCUUACAUGGUUCUCUGCCAUAUAGGUCAAGGUAUGUUCAAGCUUGUUGACAAUGUUCUGCCACUGUACAUAUGAUGCCUGUUGCUUGGCAAUUGUGUUCAAGUGGAUGCUUUUAGUCACGUCUCGCAAAGUUCUUGCUCUUGUCGGUCUUGGUGCCUGAUAAAUCUCACAUAUAACACAUUAUUAACAUAUGUGAUUAGCACGAUAAGUUCCAUAGUAACU